AGACCAUGAUGUCGGCAAUGCCUAAGUGAAUCCUUUAAUCUAUCUCAAGAUUCAUAUAGUGAUUCACCAUCAAACUUUAUGAACAAAGUGAUAACGUUCCUCAAUUU
RNAcentral lists this small nucleolar RNA (107 nucleotides) under Theobroma cacao (cacao). RNAcentral's name for it is "Plant small nucleolar RNA R71". It matches the Rfam family "Plant small nucleolar RNA R71". Rfam says of the family: R71 is a member of the C/D box family of snoRNAs containing the C (UGAUGA) and D (CUGA) box motifs. Multiple nearly identical copies of this snoRNA have been identified in Arabidopsis, and it is thought to function as a 2'-O-ribose methylation guide for 18S ribosomal RNA. Lineage: Eukaryota; Viridiplantae; Streptophyta; Magnoliopsida; Malvales; Malvaceae. The record is from Rfam by way of RNAcentral.